GCACGCAUGGCGGAAUUGGCAGACGCGCAUGGUUCAGGUCCAUGUCCUGUAACAGGGGUGAGGGUUCAAGUCCCUCUGUGUGCACGA
This 87-nucleotide transfer RNA is filed under the name Clostridium sp. CAG:411. RNAcentral describes it as "transfer RNA-Leu(CAG)". It matches the Rfam family "tRNA". From Rfam's summary of the family: Transfer RNA (tRNA) molecules are approximately 80 nucleotides in length. Lineage: Bacteria; Bacillati; Bacillota; Clostridia; Eubacteriales; Clostridiaceae. The record is from RNAcentral.